Molecule: transfer RNA, 93 nt
Filed under: Thiothrix eikelboomii
Lineage: Bacteria; Pseudomonadati; Pseudomonadota; Gammaproteobacteria; Thiotrichales; Thiotrichaceae
Description: Selenocysteine transfer RNA
Rfam family: Selenocysteine transfer RNA
Source: Rfam by way of RNAcentral
GGAAGGGUGGCAUACCCCGGUGGGAUGUCCAGACUUCAAAUCUGGGAGAGGCUGUCACACAGCUUCUGGUGGGUUCGACUCCCAUACCCUUCC